GAGAAAUGCAGCCACUGUAAAGCCUUUGCGGAUGGUUUUUACCAUCAGUAUAUGAAUUUCUUAAUCACAGGGGGUGACCUGUUUAAAAGUAUUUUGAAACUGUUUUUAUUGUGGACAUCUCGCUGACAUCCUUCUCGGUAAAUUGGCUGACCGGAUAUAGGAUGUUAACAAAGGAAGGAAUUUUAUUGUUCUUUUAUUAUUCUUAUCAUUAUGAAAUUUAGAAAUAACCAAGGGAUAUUGCUAAACAAAAACAAAGACACUGGGGCUGGCCCAUGGUGCAGCCGUUAUGUUGGCGCAUUCUGCUUCGGUGGCCCGGGGUUCGCCGGUUAGGAUCCUGGGUGCUGACAUGGCACCACUUAUCAAGCCAUGCUGUGGUAGGCGCCCCACGAGAGUCAGCGACUUGUACACACCUGAUGCGGCCCCCGUGGCCACCAGGGGGCGCGCAGACCCUGUGGUUUGGGCUCCAGGGAGCGCUGCGCGGUGGUAGCAGAGACCAGCACCUGAGGGUCUGAGAGGAGCCAGGAGGAGACAGAGGACGCGGGAGCUGUGGCCCCUCGCAGGCGCCCCGCGAAGGAGGAGAGUGAGGGGAGAGUGAGUGAGGACAGGCACAAAAGGAGCAGUAGAUCUUCCGGGGGCUCCUGGAGGGAUGGGCUCACGGGCUGGUAAAGCAGUGACAGUGACCCCAGAGGUGCAGCCCCGUGGCUCCCUGUCAGUUUAGAAAGGCUGUCAGGGGCCCCGGUCCCCUCCGGGGUGCGUUCCAGGGGUCCCACCUGCCCUCUAGCGUGUCCCCCACCAACUCCUGCUCCAACCUCUCCCUCCCUCCAGUUUCACGAGGGCGCCCUGGGGAGGGGGUGGGGCUCGCUGACAGGACCCCUUAGCCCGAGGGUCUUCCAGAGACCCUGGAGGGAGGGGCUUGUACAGUUGAGGGGCUCUAAACACCCCUAUUAUUACCCAGAGUCCAGGGAGAAAGUGAUAAACCCACGGGGACCCCCCAGUGCUCAGCCCCAACCCCACCCCCUCCCUGAGGAUUAAGAUGCAGGUUCCAGGCCCCAGCCUAACAGGCCUCGUAGAGACACUCACUGAUGCAUUCCCUGCCACGACCCUCACCUCCCCGUGGGGUCCCACAGUGACUGGGGCUCCCGCUUCCCCAAAGCUCCCACCAAGGACUGGUGUUCCCCCCGCUCUGGAGGACUAGCUCCCCUGCAGGGCCAGGCCACUCCUGGAACCUGCUGUGCGGACCCCCUGUGCAGACCCCAGGGCAGGAUGGACCAGAGCAGCAGCCCCAGGACAGGCCUUGCUAGUCAGCGCGGGGACGCGCUCCCAGCUCCCCGGACUCCGCAGCAAGGCUCUGGGAGAGUGGACUGGACUCACGUUGUUUUCUUUUUUCUGCUCUUUCCUUCCUCUUCCUGUGAGAAAGGGUCUAAAAUGGGUCAGCUGUAAUGUCAGCCAGUGGCGGUCAGAUGCUUCUGCAGCUACUCAGAGGACUGCCCUGGAGAAAGUGCCUCUGAGUAACCAGAUCUGUGUUCUGUGUCUCCUGUUCUGACUACCCAGCAAAUGAUGUGAAGGCGACGGCAGCCGUGGACGUUCUGCCAGAUGAAGGCUCCCUCCUCCCAUAUCUGCUCUGGCUCCCUAUUGCCUGCAGGAGCAUGUUCUUCCUGGGCAUCACCACGACCUGACAUGUAACCUCUGGGAUCCUCCUGACUGAGGCCGUGCACUGUCAUUCACAUACACUCAAUGUCUCCUGCCUUCCAGCCGCUGCUCCUGUCUUCUCCCCACAAUUCCACCCACUCAGAGCCUCUCUCACAGUCCAAGGAGAGCAGUGCACUCCUCCUUCCAUCUUCAGCAGCCCAGACUUGGUCUCCAGUUAGGGGACUGUUUUCAAGGAAGCUGCAAACAACCCAGGACUGGUCUUUGCAGGUGUUCUACUGAUUUUCUUGAACUGUCUUAAAAGUGGAAGCAAAGUCCUGGGAAGGGGAGCAGAGAUGAGGGGGCUUCUAGAUGAAGCCCCGCCAAGAGGUUAUCGGUGGACUGGCUCUCUCCCAGCUCUCUACCCCAUCCUGUGGGGACAGUUAACACAAGAAAGAGUUUUCUUAAUGUCCCAGCAACGUGGCCCAGCUGUGGCUGCUUUGUGUAUCCCUUGUCCUGGGAGCUUCUCUGUGGCUUCUCCACGCAGCACGAGUCAAGCCCAGGGCAGGGGCCCAGCAUGGAGUGUGUUGCAUGAGCCCACUGCUGUCAGGGAGCUGGGGAGCUGGUGAAACGCAGCAGGACUCAGAGCUGUGUCCCCGGGAGGCCACCAUGUGAGUGAGCCCCCUACCCAGCCGUCCUGCCCACCAUGGGCUCUUUGGAGCUGGGCACUGGUAGGAAGGAUGUGCGGAAUCCUGUCUGCAGCCGGCACGGAGGGGUGACUCGGGGCUUCAAGAAUUCAAACUGAUGACAGAGGAGAAUGACGGAUACACACGACAUCCUUAUGCUGAGUAAGAGUACACACUGUGUGGUUUAAUGUGAAGUUCUAGAACAGGCAAAAUGUAUCCAUGAGGCAGAAAAAUCAGAACAGUGGUUGUCCUUCCUGAUUCGAUGUGGGGACUGACUGGGAAGGGUCGAGAGGGGGCUUUGUGGACAUAAGGCUGAUGGUCUACAACUCGAAGGGGCUUGGGUUCCACAGGUACACGCACUUGUGAAAACAUCACUUAAGAGAUGUGCAUUUGAUAGGAUACAAUUUUUAGGAAAAAUAAACUGUAAUAAUAUUGAACUCUAGCACUACACACUCUGAAUUAUUCAGGGCACAUGUUACUGAUGUCUGUAACAGUCCUUGAAAUGGAUUAAAAUUAAGACGGGUUGAUGGGAGGAGUAUGAACACAUGGACAGAUACACAUAAAGCAAGUACAUUCAAAUGUUAAUGGUAGAAUCAACACUGUGGGAAUAUGGGGUUAAAUAAAAAAUUAUUUCAUAUUUCCCUUGUGUUUUAAAAUUUUCAUAAUUAAAUGUUGGGAGAAAAACUGCACGAGCCCCUUCCACUUUUGCCGUUUUUGGAAGACGCCAAGCAAAGGGACAUGAAUGUUCAGGGUAACUGGAUCUGCUCGGAGGAGAAGCCUGUGAGGAGCAGGAGCCACACAGUGAGGAACGGUUGCUCAGCAUCUGUGGUUCCUCUAGGAAUGCCAGAAACCUCUUGCCUUCAGAGUUCCCUGCCCCCAACUCCCUGGAUGGGGGAGGCCUUCCUCAGUCAGAGGCCAGCCAGGGGGCCCAGGAUUGCGGACACGACCCUACGAAGGACACACUGCUGUCUGGAUGUGCCUGGUCAGGGAGAUUAUUCCACCACAGGGGGAGACAGCCUUUGCACUGGUGACACCUCGUGAAUAAUCCCUUAAUGUGGACUCACAUGCUUAUUCUUCUGCUGUAGUGGAGAAGAAAAUGCACCAAAUACAGCUGUCAGUGGUGAGCACACCUUUCUCUCAGCCUCUUGCAGAUCCAGAACUUCUGAUGACGAGGCGCCCUAGGGCGCUGAGCUUUGCUCCAAAGAUUGAUCUACAUUUUCCUCUCUGACUUGUGCUGCGUGCAGUGCGCCCUUGCUCUGAUGCAGCUCUCUCAGUUGUCCAUCCAGCCUCUGCCCAUGUGAGCGCUGUUCCAUCUGGGAAGGGAAAGCUCUGCUCUUUCUCAACACUGUAAAAGAUCCUAGAAAGAUGUGGUAACUACCCAUUCCGGGGUUUCCUCUUCCUGCUCUGCUGUUCUGCCCAGGAUUCUCUGCACAGUGCUCUCCUUCGCACCUACGCUUCCAUUCCCCUUGUCAGCCCGAGUUCCCAAGGCUUUCUGGGAUUUCCAUAACAGUUUUCAGGGUCCCUGAGCUCACAGUAUUGCUCGUCCUUGUGAAGUGCUUCCAGUUUUCUCUUCCCCCAGACCACGUGGAUUUUGGCAUUUCCUUCCCAAACCCCAAGGGCUCAUCUUGUUGAUCUCUCCUUCUUGACCUGCCCCCAGGGGAGGAAGGAGGAUGCUGGCGGGAAGGUGAGGACUUGAGUCUGUGCUGAGACCCAGAGGAGGGGCGGGGCGGGCGGCCUCUUCAGCAGGUGGACUCUGAGGGGGUCGGGAAAGAAGAGGUAGCAGAAGAGCGAGAGCGGAGAGCUUCCCUCCCCACAGACUCCAUGCAGCUUCGGGUCCUGACGACCUGGCGUCUAUCCUGCCCGUGCUGCCGCCCGCCAAUCCAGGCUGAUGCUCAGGGUGCGUCUCAACGAGGCAUCUGUGACGUCAUGCGGCUCCCCACCGUCUUGACAUCCUUGGGAAUUCCUCCUCAGCCCCCGCCUGCCUCCCUCCUCCAUCCCACUACCUGCCCUGUGCAGUCAGGAGGUGUCCCCAGUUCACUGGUGAAUUCAUUGGAUCUGUCACGUCGCCAGCUGGAAUGGGACAGGCCCUGAACCCAGGGAUCCCAGGCAAGGGCGCUGAGACAGCAGGGUCGCAAUCCCAGCAGGGACUGCUUGACUCUGGGCUGGUCGUGCCCUCCCCUCUCCCGUGGAGCCUCACCCCGCCCCUCCGAAGACCCGCCCCCUGCACGCGGACUGGGUGUCCAUGGCGACGGGAAGGAAGCCGGGGUGAAGAGGCAAAUGAAAUAAUUCAACCAGGCUACCACUGCAGGUGUGUGAUAUUAGACGGAGCGUGUCCAAUGGGGAGCAGCACAGAGAGUGUGAACAAAUCUUCACUGAGAGCAGAACGGUGCAGCGGAAGCGAGCUGGGCUCCCAACUCAGAAGAAGAAGACUCUUUCUGCGUGUUUACAAGUGCUCAAUUCUCUACAUAAAAUCUAGCUGUUUCCACUUUUUGCCUACUACGAAAAAUGCUACUUUGAUGAG
This is a long non-coding RNA of Equus caballus (horse), 4833 nucleotides long. The record is from Ensembl. NCBI's taxonomy places the organism in Eukaryota, Metazoa, Chordata, Mammalia, Perissodactyla, Equidae.